Molecule: ribosomal RNA, 781 nt
Filed under: uncultured organism
Description: bacterial SSU rRNA
Rfam family: Bacterial small subunit ribosomal RNA
Source: RNAcentral
CGACGACCGGCGGACGGGUGACGUACGCGUAUGCAACCUACCUAUUGCAGGAAUAUAGCGCGAGGAAACUCGGAUUAAUAUUCCAUAAUAUCAUUUUUACACAUGUAUUAAUGAUUAAAGCUACGGCGGCAAUAGAUGGGCAUGCGUACCAUUAGCUAGUUGGUGAGGUAACGGCUCACCAAGGUUACGAUGGUUAGGGGGUCUUAAAGGAUGAUCCCCCACACUGGUACUGAGACACGGACCAGACUCCGACGGGAGGCAGCAGUGAGGAAUAUUGGGCAAUGGACGCAAGUCUGACCCAUUUAUGCCGCGUGCAGGAUGACUGCUCUAGUAGUUGUAAACUGCUUUUCUAUUUCAUGAACCCCUCUGACGUGUCAGGGGCUGACAGUAGAAUAGGAAUAAGCAUCGACUAACUCCGUGCCAGCAGCCGCGGUAAUACGGAGGAUGCAAGCGUUAUCCGGAUUUACUAGGUUUAAAGGGUGCGUAGGCGGGGUAUCAAGUCGGUGGUGAAAUCCUGCAGCUCAACUGUAGAACUGCCAUUGAAACUGAUAUUCUUGAGUAUAGUUGAGGUAGGCGGAAUGUGUUAAGUAGCGGUGAAAUGCAUAGAGAUAACACAGAACACCGAUUGCGAAGGCAGCUUACUAAACUAUUACUGACGCUGAGGUACGAAAGCGUGGGGAGCGAACAGGAUUAGAUACCCUGGUAGUCCACGCCGUANACGUUGAUCACUAGUUGUUUGCGAUACAUUGUGAGCGACUGAACAAAAGCAUUAAGUGAUCCA